GGAGUGCUAAUAUUUUAUUAAAGUCUCUAUUUACAAAAGAAAACAAAUGAUAAUAAUUAUAAAAAAUUACAAUUGCAAUCUUGUUGGGUGUUCGUCCGCAUAUCAAACUUGAUGCCUUCCAUUUAAGAUAUGCCCACAGAACAUUGAUUUCGAAGAUUUUUACAAAUACAACCAUCAUCAAGAACUAUUCACACUAAUCACUAUUAUUACUAUCACCCAUAUUAUCACUGUCUUCAUUAUUUAUCCCUUUUGUCAAUAUUCUAACUAAUCACUGUCAUAACUACUAUCAAUAUUUUCACUAUUAUCACUUUCAUCAAUAGUAGGGUGCCCAAUCUACAAAUUUGAUCUAUUUGCCUAAACGGAAUAACCCACGGCUAUAUUUUGUAUCAUUGGAAAGAGGAGAACAAACUUCAUCGAAAUGCUGUUGUCGUCGUUGUCUGCGGUGGUCUCUUUUUUUUUUUUUUUUUAAAUUAGGGUCAAAGGUCAAAGCUUAAAUUUCAGAAAAAUUAACAGUCACAUUUAGAUAGCUUGUUUCUCCUAUAUAUAUGCGUUUGGAGCAAAAUAAAAACAACUAAUUUAUAGAUAAAUAUCUUUUGUAUCUACAUUUAGAACUUAAGUCAUAUUUUUAUCGCCAAAAAUGACUUUAGAUAGACUUUUUUGCAUGUAGGGUGCAAAUUUAAAAUUUUCAAACAGCUGUUAAAUAACAGUAACCUUGAUCAAUUUCUAGGUAAAUAUCAAAUUUCUGUUAUUUGGUGUGAAAGAGUAUAUAAAAAUGAUUUGUUUCGAAAUUUGUGCCACUUCAACGCCAAACUUGGUUGAAUAUAAAGCUCUGUGUACAGAUUUGCUUUACAGAAACGGAGAAAAAGGGGGGUAAAAGUUAUGAAAACAAAACGUCUAAUAGAAACAGGUAAAACACCCAAUCCUACAUAUACAGAUGACUAAAUGAGCAACAAUUGGCUAUAAUGUUUACAAGUAUUCCAAAAAUAUAAUAAGGGAGAGGGUUAUGUACAGCACCGAUGUAUUUUACAAACAAUUGCAAACAAAAAAGGCGUGAGAAACCAAAGGGAAAUUAAAAACUUAUAAAUUGAAGACAAGCUGACAACAGGAUGACAAAAACACGAAAAAAGAACAAAUGCAAAUAGAAAUUUAUGAUCGAAGCUAAUAUUACCUUCUACGUUCUAUGGUCUCCUGUAGUUU
RNAcentral lists this long non-coding RNA (1197 nucleotides) under Mytilus galloprovincialis (Mediterranean mussel). Lineage: Eukaryota; Metazoa; Mollusca; Bivalvia; Mytilida; Mytilidae. The record is from RNAcentral.